CACACACACACACACACACACACACACACACACACAUAUACAUAUGCACACACACACACACACACACACAGUCUCCCUUGCCCGCUUCCUUUCUUGGCAAGCCUAUCCGCAUGAAAAGACACACAUUAACACGCAUGUGUCCAUAAAUGGCAACCCACCCCUCCCUACUCUGGUUCUCCCCAAAAAAAAAGAAAAGAAAGCACUACACGGAAGAGGGAGAAAAAAAAAGAAAAAAAACCACGGCACACAAAACCCAGAGCACACCAGCACGCAUGCAUUCACACCGACUCAUCCAGGCGUUCCGUCCCCCCCUCCACCCACACACACACACACACACACACACACACACAGCCCUCCCCUCGACUCCUGCAGGACACUGGCCUGUGUCCCAGGCGUAACAAACUUCUCUCUCUUCCAUUAAGGCGGCGUCGUAUGCAACGCAUUAGAAACAAAUGUGCAAAUUUACUUCUUUCUUUUCCUUUUUCCUCUCUCUCUCUCUCUCUCUCGCUCUCCCUCUCUCUCUGAAGCACUCAUGUUGCUCUCUUAGAGCAAAGCUUAGAGUUCUGUGCAGGGUAGUGUCAAGAUAGUACCACGCUGGGACAAGUUGAUUGUUAAGGCCUGGUGUACCAAGGGGGUAAGGACCAACGCUCUGUGGUGGGACUGCUCCCUAAGGAAGGGAGGGGGGGGGGGGGUUGAUUUGUGUCUUGGACAAGUUACUUUUUAUCCCCCCACCAAAAUCCCCCACCUAUUCAAUUCUGGAAUCAGCUAAUCCUUUUUUUUGUUUUUUAUUUUAAUUUUCUUUUUUUUUUUUAAGAAAGGUGAACAGUAUUUUUUUUAAGCUGUGGCUUAUAAGGACACUGACCAGAAGAGACUCAAAAUCACAACUUGAUGGAAGCAUUUUUUCUUUUUUUUUGCUUUUAGUUGAAUUUGCGAUUGGCUUCAGCAGUGCUCGUCUAAGGCUGCAUGUGAUCUCCGUAAGCACGGCCACGUUACAGACGUUUUCGCCGGACAAUGUGCCAAGUUGUCCAUUCACCAACGCUUCGUGUGUCUGCAUGUUCAGUGUUCUCCAGCCAGCGGGACCUGGCCUCAUUCACAUGGCAAAACUCACACCCCCGCCCUAUGGUGGCCCAGGAUGGACAAAAAACACUGUGCAUUGCCUCUAGUCUAGACUGAGGUCCACUUGCCAGGAUAAUGCCGCCAGUGCCACUAUCACCACCACCACCCAGAUGAUUCACCCCCCAGCCUGCACCUCACCGCCACUGAUUUCACAUUGGCAUCAGCGGCAGCCACCCAACAUGCUCUCAUCUCCACCUCAGUACUGCCGAGAUUUAUGUCAGAGUGCCGAUGGGGGCUGUGGGCUAUAGACGGAGCAUAUAGCAUCUAGCAUAGAGACGGUGGGAAGAGAACAACAGACAGGAAGAGAGAAGAGAUCUAGAGAUGAAAGAGACAGAGAAAGC
Long non-coding RNA from Clupea harengus (Atlantic herring), 1457 nucleotides. NCBI's taxonomy places the organism in Eukaryota, Metazoa, Chordata, Actinopteri, Clupeiformes, Clupeidae. The record is from Ensembl.